RNA transcript from Helianthus annuus (common sunflower), 5028 nucleotides. It is a transcript of the gene named serine/threonine-protein kinase pakF, with no coding region annotated. Lineage: Eukaryota; Viridiplantae; Streptophyta; Magnoliopsida; Asterales; Asteraceae. The record is from RefSeq and is a predicted model, not a curated record. The transcript has 16 exons.
GCCUCAUCUUCUACCAGUUUCCUCCAUCCAUUAUUAUUAUCAUUAAGCUUUCUCUAGUUUAUUCAUCACAUUUUCCACAACCACUUUCAGAUCCACAUUCACAUUUAGAGUCUCUCACUAGACUAUCAAUUACUGUAUCUGUAAUAUUAUAUAAAUCUUACAUGCUCCUCUGUUUUCACUCACACUGCAACUUUUUCUGGUUUUUGCUCUCUUUCCGUUCAUUUCCGUAACCGAAAAACUCCAAAAUCAUGUCUGAAUCCGGUGACGGACUGGAUCACCUUCGAAUUCCAUACGAUAAAAUCAAAUUCGGUGAGAAACUCGAGACUCAGGGCUAUGGAACAGUGUUCGAAGGAGAGUUUAACGAUCAACGAGUGGCGUUGAAGCAGUUAAACAUCACGAACCUUGCGAACAUUAAACCGAAAUUGUUAGGUGAGAUUCUAACAAUUUCUAAAUUCCGUCAACAUCCGAAUCUCGUGGCUCUGCUAGGGUUUUGCGAUGAGAAGAGCAAUGAAAUAAUACUAGUUUACGAGUAUGUAGCUAGUGGAAAUCUAGAAGAUAAGAUGCGAAAACGACUCACAACGAUUCAGCGGUUUGAGAUCUGUCUCGGUGCUGCUCGUGGACUGUGUUAUUUGCACACCGGAGUUGAAUCUCUAACCAUCGUUCACGGUAACAUCAAACUUUCAAAAAUUUUAUUGAAUUCACUCAAUUCAGAUGCAAAUUUAAGAUAUGAAGCGAAGGUUUCUAGCUUCGGAUUAUCGAAAAUAGUGCCUGGAAAAGGUCAGAAGGUCCUGGAAUCUUCUGAUGAAGAAGGUUCCAAACCGACGAAGGAAUCAGAUGUGUAUUCGUUUGGUGUGUUGUUGCUGAUAGUGUUGUGUGGUGUAUCGGAACUGGUGGAUACUGACGAUUAUCAGGAACGUCAUGUUUCUGAAUUGGUACCGAAGAAGAUGAAGCAAAAUGAAUUGCGUAAAACCGUUCAUCGUGAUAUUCGAAAGGAGAUUAAAACUGAGGCGUUGGAUACUUAUGCCGCUAUCGCGUGCCAGUGUGUGUUGGAAAAUCCGGACGAGCGUCCUGAUAUGGUUAAAGUUGUUGAAGAACUUGAAAAGGCGUUGAGAUUACAGGGAGGGGAAGUGACGUAUGUCCAAAUUCCUGGUGGUGGAAAGCUCGCCGGAGUGAUAGAUGAAGCCGGAAAAGAACCUGAGAAGGAGAACAUUCCGGUUAUUGAAGAAGAUGUGGAGGAUUUGAACGCCGGAGACAAAGUGGAUACUGCUGGAGAAGAUGAUGGUGAGAAGAAUACAGGGGAAGCUACUAAUACGGAGAGUAGCAACAAUGAUCAAUCGAUCACAAAGGAAAUUUUAAACUCCAAAAUGGAAUCAAACGAGGAGGAAAAUAAAAGCAAAAUUCCUACUGAGGAUGUUUAUAACGAAAUGAGCACAAUUGAUCCAGAGAGCAUUGAAGAUCAAACCAUUGAUGCCUUUGACUCGGACAAUAAAUCAGUAAUCAUCGAGGAAAACAAUGAAGAUGAGAAAAGUAUCAAGGUUACUAGCAACGACGAGAAUUAUACAAUGAAAGAUACUAAUACGAAGAGUGUACCCGACAGAAAUCAUAUCGAUGAUGCUAAAAUUGAGAAUAGCAUCCAUGACCCAGCUACUGAAAAUGAAAUUGUAAAUAAUUUAAACUCCAUAAAAGAAUCAAACACGACGGUUGAAAGCGAAGAGGAGAAUAAAAGCGAAAUUGCUAUUGAGGAUGCUAAUAACGAAAUGAUGAUAAUUGAUCAAGAGACCACAGAUAUUACUACAACUUCAGAAUCCAGUAUUGGUGACACAAAUACCUCAACAAACCAGGAGAGUGCACCCGACAAAAAUCAUAUCGAGGAUGCUAAAAAUGAGAAUAGCAACGAUGAUCCAGCUACCGAAAAUGAAAUUUCAAACGAUUUAAACUCCACAAAGGAAUCAAACAUCACGGUUGAAAACGAAAAGGAGAAUAAAAGCGAAAUUGCUAUUAAGGAUGCUCAUGAUGAAAUGAUCACAAUUGACCGAGAGACCACUGACAUGAAAACAACUUCAGAAUCUAGCAACGGUGACACUAGUACCUCAACAAACCAGGAGGGUGUACCCGACAAAAAUCAUAUCGAGGGUGCUAAAAAUGAGAAUAGCAAUGAUGAUCCAGCUGCUGCAAAUGAUUUAAACUCCAUAAACGAAUCAAACAUCACGGUUGAAAACGAAGAGGAGAAGAAAAGCGAAAUCGUUAUUAAGGAUGCUCAUAAUGAAAUGAGCAAAACUGAUCAAGAGACCACUGAAAUUACUACAACUUCAGAAUCUAGCAAUGAUGACAAGAGUACCUCAACAAACCAGGAGACUGUACUCGACAAAAAUCACGCUGAGGAUGCCAAUAAUGAGAGUAGCAACAAUGAUCCAACGACCCAAAAAGAAAUUUUAAACGAUUUAAACUUCAUAAGGGAAUCAAACAUCACGGUUGAAAACGAAGAGGAAAAUAAAAGCAAAAUCGCUAUUAAGGAUGCUCAUAACGAAACGAGCAGAAUUGACCAAGGGACCACUGAAAUCAGUACAACUUCAGAAUCUAGCAAUGUUGACACAACUACCUUAACAAGCCAGGAAGUGCAAGAGUCGAAGAUUCUGAAGUCAGACAGAGGGAGCUUCAGCUUCAGUGAGGUUAAUGAAGAUGAACUUGAGCGCCUUCGAAUUCCAUUAGAGGAGAUCAAAUUUGGUCAAAAAAUAGAUUUCCGUGGUUACGGUACCAUGUUUGAAGGAGAAUACAGACACCAACAAGUGGCGUUGAAACGGUUAAACAUCACAAACCUUCAUAACAUCAAACCUAAGCUGCUAUCAGCGAUUUUGACUAUAUAUAGGUUCCGGCAACACCCUAAUCUUGUGGCGUUAAUCGGGUUUUGUGAUGAAAACAACAAAGAAAUAAUACUUGUUUACGAGUAUGUCUCGGGUGGGAAUUUAUCAGAUAAGAUGAGUAAACAUCUUACCGCGAUCCAGCGCCUCCAGAUCUGUCAUGGUGCUGCUCGUGGACUCGAAUAUUUGCAUAGUGAUGAUGUCAUUCAUGGCAAUAUAAGACUUCCAAAAAUCCUGUUGAAGUCAGACUCAGAUUCAUCAAACUUUGAAGCUAAAGUUUCGGGUUUUGGGUUACCGAAACUACUGCCGGGACAAGUUGAGAUUGUUCCAAAAUCAAUGGACCCUGCAUAUGCAGCGACAGGGAAGUUGACCAAGGAAUCUGACGUGUACUCAUUCGGCGUGUUGUUGCUUGAAGUUUUAUGUGGGGUACCGGAGUUGGUGGAUACUGAUGAUUAUCAGGAACGUCAUGUGACCGAAUUGGUUCCCAAGAGAUUGGAACAAAAUAUGUUGCGUAAGAUAGUACAUUUUGAUAUUAGAGAUGAAAUAACAACCGAGUCCUUGGAAACUUAUGCCAGAAUUGCGUGUUGGUGUGUGAUGAAAAAUCCUGAAGGAAGGCCUACCAUGCCUGAGGUUGUCGUAGAACUCGAGAAAGCACUGAGAUUACAGGGCGGGAACGUAUCUGAUGUCCAGAUUUUUGGUAGUGGUAAUGGCAACCGUCUAUCUGAAGUACCCGUUGUUGAGGAUGAUCAUAAAGGUGAUGAUAAUGUUGAGACGGUGAGCCCAAAUAUAAUAGAGGAAGAAUCCAAGGUAACUGAAGAAACUAUUGACGAAAAGAACAAAGACGUCAAUCUGCUAGGGGAGAGUCUGCUGGAGGAUGCUGAAACAAAGAAUGUCGAUAACCUGAAUGACCCUGAAAGUACAGAAGAAACUACGGUGGAUCAGAAAUCGAUUGAGGAAUCAAAGAUCAGUGUGGAAAAUGAAGUCAGUAAUGAAAGCAAGAUAACUACACCAUCUUCAAAAUCUGACAAUGGUGACAACAGUAAUUCUGCUAUGGAGGAUGUUGUAAAAGAGAAUGUGAAAGUCCCGGAGAGUACAGAAGAAAUUACGGUCGAUCCGAAGUCGAAUGAGGAAUCAAAGAUCAUUGGAGAAAGUGAAGUCAUUAACGAAUGCAAAAUAACUGCAUCGUUUUCCAGUUCUGCUAUGCAAGAGCCCCUUCCAGAUGAAAUAAGUGCUACAAAAGAAAAGGGUAACGGCUUGAUGAUGAACACAAGCAAUCCCCACAUCGUGGAAGUGAAAAACUCUACGAUUCCGGAUGACAGCGGGAAAGCUGGCUCAUUGAACACCGACAAACCUGACUUGAUUGUCAAUGAUAGAGGAGGAGAUUUUAGUAAUUCCGCCACCCAAAUCCAAGAGUCUAAAAUCAAGAGAAGUAAUAGUACAAGUUCUGAGUCUAGCAAUGGUGAUGACACUGCUGCUUCAGAUUAUUUGCUGCCAAAGAGUCCUGACAACGCAAAAAAGACAACAAGAGGCUCGGGUAACUGCUGUUAUUGCUGCUGUUACUGUUCCUGGUGGCAGUUCAUCUCAGACAGGGUGAAAACUGGACACAAGCCCAAAACCAAGUGAAACGAAUAUCCUUGCCCGAAAGGCCGAAAGCAUACUUCUGUUGCACAAACCUCUUUUGUAUAAUAAUAAUCAUAUUAGACAUACUGGUUCACAAAAAAAAAAAAAAAAAAAAAAAAAAAAAAAAAUCAAAGCUUAAACUAGUAAGCAUCUCGCGACAACCCAAUGGGUUGCUACCAAAAUCUAAAAAACUAUUGUUACCAGAAUAUUCUUUAUUCUUAUUUCUACUUUAUAGCCUUGUUAUGUUACAGAGUGGUUUUGUGCGGAGAGCUAUUCUGGAAUAAACUGGUAUCGAUGUUUACCUGGAUGACAGGUCAAUGUUCUAGCAAAAGAGAUUAAGGAGAAAGUAUUGGCGUCUUACAUGAUUGGUUCCUGUCCUGUUGAUUAUUGUUUGUAAGGUUUUGUGUUUGAACACGAGUGUGAUAUUGGUAUAUACCGCCUUUGUUUACCAUUUGAAAAUCGAGCAUGCGGAUGUACAACAUGAGGCAUGAAUGCAUUAUGCAUGCUGCAUGCAACAACGUUUAAGGAGUGUUUGGGAUUCUUAUUUAAA